This 76-nucleotide transfer RNA is filed under the name Chlamydiales bacterium. RNAcentral describes it as "tRNA-Ala". It matches the Rfam family "tRNA". From Rfam's summary of the family: Transfer RNA (tRNA) molecules are approximately 80 nucleotides in length. Their secondary structure includes four short double-helical elements and three loops (D, anti-codon, and T loops). Lineage: Bacteria; Pseudomonadati; Chlamydiota; Chlamydiia; Chlamydiales. RNAcentral also lists the same sequence under 1 other name. The record is from RNAcentral.
GGGGGCUUAGCUCAGUUGGUAGAGCGUCUGAUUUGCAUUCAGAAGGUCAGGAGUUCGACUCUCCUAGCCUCCACCA